This 517-nucleotide ribosomal RNA is filed under the name uncultured bacterium. RNAcentral describes it as "bacterial SSU rRNA". It matches the Rfam family "Bacterial small subunit ribosomal RNA", at positions 8 to 518 of the family's 1533-position model. The record is from RNAcentral.
AGAGUUUGAUCCUGGCUUAGGAUGAACGCUAGCGACAGGCUAACACAUGCAAGUCGAGGGGCAGCAUAAAAGUAGCAAUACUUUGGUGGCGACCGGCGCACGGGUGAGUAACGCGUAUGCAACCUACCUAUCAGAGGGGAAUAACCCGGCGAAAGUCGGACUAAUACCGCAUAAAACAGGGACACCGCAUGGUGAUAUUUGUUAAAGAAAUUCGCUGAUAGAUGGGCAUGCGUUCCAUUAGGUAGUUGGUGAGGUAACGGCUCACCAAGCCGACGAUGGAUAGGGGAACUGAGAGGUUGGUCCCCCACACUGGUACUGAGACACGGACCAGACUCCUACGGGAGGCAGCAGUGAGGAAUAUUGGUCAAUGGGCGAGAGCCUGAACCAGCCAAGUCGCGUGAAGGAAGAAGGAUCUAUGGUUCGUAAACUUCUUUUGCAGGGGAAUAAAGUGCAGGACGUGUCCUGUUUUGUAUGUACCCUGAGAAUAAGGAUCGGCUAACUCCGUGCCAGCCGCCGC